CGACUCUUUCCGUGAAAGAAGUGUUGAAAAUGACUUAUUGUGGCCGCGACUGGCUCCGAGGGGCAAGAACAGCUCCAGAUCUGAAGCAUCUGUUUAACAGUGAACUUCUGGAUGAGUUUGACUCUAUCCGCCUUUGGCUCCAUCUGAUCCGGACUGCCAUCCUCCGCGAAAAUGAGGUGACUGAGAACAAGAGAGGCAAG
Molecule: long non-coding RNA, 200 nt
Organism: Haliotis rubra (blacklip abalone)
Lineage: Eukaryota; Metazoa; Mollusca; Gastropoda; Lepetellida; Haliotidae
Exons: 3
Source: RefSeq, a predicted model, not a curated record